UUGAGUAUGAGGUUUGACCUGUGGAAACACUCAGCAUUCAAGGUGUUUGUCAAGAAAUUGAAUUUGAAGACUACAUUCCAUAACAGACAAAACAAGAAAUUAUAUGAAGCUAAAUUUAGGAAGCUAUAUGGCCACAGGAGGAAAAAUAAGCACAAUUUAAACAAAGGUAAGUGGCACAUUAAUAUAAAGUUAAAUAACAACAAGGACAUUAGAAUAAUGAAACCUGACAAGAGUAUUAUUGCUGUACUAAUGAAGAUUGUGAAUUAUUCAGAAAUUAUGUUAACUCUGUUAAAGAAUGCUGAUCAAUAUGAGCAUGUGUCUAAAAUUACAUAAAUAAUACCUUUAUCACAAUAUAUUUGAUGAUUUUAUGUUACAAGGAUUAUUAGAUUUUGGCCAACUUAGGUUUCUCAUGCUGAAAAAAUGGUUACAGUGAUUUUUGGCAUUAUAAAAAAAUGCAUAAAUCUUUAAGCAAACUUCUACUUAAAUGCAGUAUUUCCCUUGAUAGGUCCCCAAAGCAGAGUGACUGGCAGCUUAAAUUGAUUUUAAACUUAAAAAAAAUUUUAACAAUAAAAACUAUGGCUCAUGA
Long non-coding RNA from Protopterus annectens (West African lungfish), 586 nucleotides. RefSeq lists it as uncharacterized. The record is from RefSeq and is a predicted model, not a curated record. Lineage: Eukaryota; Metazoa; Chordata; Ceratodontiformes; Protopteridae. The transcript is spliced from 2 exons.